Molecule: long non-coding RNA, 623 nt
Organism: Sycon ciliatum
Lineage: Eukaryota; Metazoa; Porifera; Calcarea; Leucosolenida; Sycettidae
Exons: 4
Source: RefSeq, a predicted model, not a curated record
CCAACGGUCGCCCAUGGCCGUGGUGACAAGAGAGUUCUGUCAUACCUUCAACAAGUGAAUUACACAUGUGACACUGGUUAUAGUAUAAAUGGAUCAGUAACAGCAACUUGCAGUGCUUACGGAACUUUGACAGAGCCGAAGCCUACCUGCAACAUUGUCAAUUGUACUGUGCCAACGGUCGCCCAUGGCCGUGGUGACAAGAGAGUUCUGUCAUACCUUCAACAAGUGAAUUACACAUGUGACACUGGUUAUAGUAUAAAUGGAUCAGUAACAGCAACUUGCAGUGCUUACGGAACUUUGACAGAGCCGAAGCCUACCUGCAACAUUGUCAAUUGUACUGUGCCAACGGUCGCCCAUGGCCGUGGUGACAAGAGAGUUCUGUCAUACCUUCAACAAGUGAAUUACACAUGUGACACUGGUUAUAGUAUAAAUGGAUCAGUAACAGCAACUUGCAGUGCUUACGGAACUUUGACAGAGCCGAAGCCUACCUGCAACAUUGUCAAUUGUACUGUGCCAACGGUCGCCCAUGGCCGUGGUGACAAGAGAGUUCUGUCAUACCUUCAACAAGUGAAUUACACAUGUGACACUGGUUAUAGUAUAAAUGGAUCAGUAACAGCAACUUG